Molecule: ribosomal RNA, 23 nt
Filed under: Penaeus monodon (black tiger shrimp)
Lineage: Eukaryota; Metazoa; Arthropoda; Malacostraca; Decapoda; Penaeidae
Description: partial 5.8S ribosomal RNA
Source: RNAcentral
CUCUUAACGGGGGAUCACUCGGC